This 108-nucleotide ribosomal RNA is filed under the name Kusaghiporia persicina. Its description in RNAcentral is "partial 5.8S ribosomal RNA". It matches the Rfam family "5.8S ribosomal RNA", at positions 50 to 154 of the family's 154-position model. From Rfam's summary of the family: 5.8S ribosomal RNA (5.8S rRNA) is a component of the large subunit of the eukaryotic ribosome. It is transcribed by RNA polymerase I as part of the 45S precursor that also contains 18S and 28S rRNA. Lineage: Eukaryota; Fungi; Basidiomycota; Agaricomycetes; Polyporales; Laetiporaceae. The record is from RNAcentral.
GAAAUGCGAUAAGUAAUGUGAAUUGCAGAAUUCAGUGAAUCAUCGAAUCUUUGAACGCAACUUGCGCCCCUUGGCAUUCCGAGGAGCAUGCCUGUUUGAGCGUCGUGU